Molecule: transfer RNA, 130 nt
Filed under: Rhodanobacteraceae bacterium
Lineage: Bacteria; Pseudomonadati; Pseudomonadota; Gammaproteobacteria; Lysobacterales; Rhodanobacteraceae
Description: tRNA-OTHER
Source: RNAcentral
GGCUCCGGGGGAUUAUGUUUCCGGAUUUUCCCCAGAUUUUCCCCCGGAGUACAAAUGCAGCUCAAAACAAGCUGUGAUCUUCCGGCUCCUAAGGGGAAGGUCGUACGUUCGAAUCGUAUCGGGGCCGCCA